Molecule: long non-coding RNA, 418 nt
Organism: Brienomyrus brachyistius
Lineage: Eukaryota; Metazoa; Chordata; Actinopteri; Osteoglossiformes; Mormyridae
Exons: 3
Source: RefSeq, a predicted model, not a curated record
CAGUUUCUCUCUUUGCUGUCGCGACGCCCGCCAGGGCUUUAUAAAACAAGGUCUAUAAGGGACGGUGGGUCGGGGUUGGUUGGGUGGCACUACCCGCAGAGCGUCCGUCCAGUCAACAUUCUUGCGAUCGGCAGAUCGCAGCUUCGAACCUCGCUGAGGACAGUUUCUCUCUUUGCUGUCGCGACGCCCGCCAGGGCUUUAUAAAACAAGGUCUAUAAGGGACGGUGGGUCGGGGAUGGAUGGGUGGCACUACCCGCAGAGCGUCCGUCCAGUCAACAUUCUUGCGAUCGGCAGAUCGCAGCUUCGAACCUCGCUCAGUGCUGUUUCUCUCUUUGCUGUCGCGUCGACCGUUAUAAAACAAGGUCUAUAAGGGACGGUGGGUCGGGGUUGGUUGGGUGGCACUACCCGCAGAGCGUCC